UCACGCCGUCGGAUGAGCCCAGAUGAGAUUAGCUGGUAGGUAGGGUAAAGGCUUACCUAGGCGACGAUCUCUAGCGGGUCUGAGAGGAUAGCCCGCCACACUGGAACUGAGACACGGUCCAGACUCCUGCGGGAGGCAGCAGUGGGGAAUAUUGCACAAUGGGCGAAAGCCUGAUGCAGCCAUGCCACGUGUGUGAAGAAGGCCUUCGGGUUGUAAAGCACUUUCAGCGAGGAGGAAGCGAUAAAUGCCAAUACCAUUUAUUUUUGACGUUACUCGCAGAAGAAGCACCGGCUAACUCCGUGCCAGCAGCCGCGGUAAUACGGAGGGUGCGAGCGUUAAUCGGAAUAACUGGGCGUAAAGGGCAUGUAGG
This 370-nucleotide ribosomal RNA is filed under the name Candidatus Hamiltonella defensa (Bemisia tabaci). Its description in RNAcentral is "bacterial SSU rRNA". It matches the Rfam family "Bacterial small subunit ribosomal RNA", at positions 213 to 575 of the family's 1533-position model. Lineage: Bacteria; Pseudomonadati; Pseudomonadota; Gammaproteobacteria; Enterobacterales; Enterobacteriaceae. The record is from RNAcentral.